AUUGAACGCUGGCGGCAGGCCUAACACAUGCAAGUCGAACGGUAACAGGAAGAAGCUUGCUUCUUUGCUGACGAGUGGCGGACGGGUGAGUAAUGUCUGGGAAACUGCCUGAUGGAGGGGGAUAACUACUGGAAACGGUAGCUAAUACCGCAUAACGUCGCAAGACCAAAAAGGGGGACCUUCGGGCCUCUUGCCAUCGGAUGUGCCCAGAUGGGAUUAGCUAGUAGGUGGGGUAACGGCUCACCUAGGCGACGAUCCCUAGCUGGUCUGAGAGGAUGACCAGCCACACGGGAACUGAAACACGGUCCAGCCUCCUAGGGGAGGCAGCGGGGGGGAAUAUUGCAAAAGGGGCGGAAGCCUGAGGCAGCCAGGCCGGGUGUAUGAAGAAGGCCUUCGGGUUGGAAAGUACUUUCAGGGGGGAGGAAGGGAGUAAAGUUAAUACCUUUGCUCAUUGACGUUACCCGCAAAAGAAGCACCGGCUAACUCCGU
RNAcentral lists this ribosomal RNA (489 nucleotides) under uncultured bacterium. Its description in RNAcentral is "partial 16S ribosomal RNA". It matches the Rfam family "Bacterial small subunit ribosomal RNA", at positions 29 to 506 of the family's 1533-position model. The record is from RNAcentral.